Molecule: ribosomal RNA, 732 nt
Filed under: Bacillus atrophaeus C89
Lineage: Bacteria; Bacillati; Bacillota; Bacilli; Caryophanales; Bacillaceae
Description: bacterial SSU rRNA
Rfam family: Bacterial small subunit ribosomal RNA
Source: RNAcentral
UGCAAGUCGAGCGGACAGAUGGGAGCUUGCUCCCUGAUGUUAGCGGCGGACGGGUGAGUAACACGUGGGUAACCUGCCUGUAAGACUGGGAUAACUCCGGGAAACCGGGGCUAAUACCGGAUGCUUGUUUGAACCGCAUGGUUCAAACAUAAAAGGUGGCUUCGGCUACCACUUACAGAUGGACCCGCGGCGCAUUAGCUAGUUGGUGAGGUAAUGGCUCACCAAGGCAACGAUGCGUAGCCGACCUGAGAGGGUGAUCGGCCACACUGGGACUGAGACACGGCCCAGACUCCUACGGGAGGCAGCAGUAGGGAAUCUUCCGCAAUGGACGAAAGUCUGACGGAGCAACGCCGCGUGAGUGAUGAAGGUUUUCGGAUCGUAAAGCUCUGUUGUUAGGGAAGAACAAGUGCCGUUCAAAUAGGGCGGCACCUUGACGGUACCUAACCAGAAAGCCACGGCUAACUACGUGCCAGCAGCCGCGGUAAUACGUAGGUGGCAAGCGUUGUCCGGAAUUAUUGGGCGUAAAGGGCUCGCAGGCGGUUUCUUAAGUCUGAUGUGAAAGCCCCCGGCUCAACCGGGGAGGGUCAUUGGAAACUGGGGAACUUGAGUGCAGAAGAGGAGAGUGGAAUUCCACGUGUAGCGGUGAAAUGCGUAGAGAUGUGGAGGAACACCAGUGGCGAAGGCGACUCUCUGGUCUGUAACUGACGCUGAGGAGCGAAAGCGUGGGGAGCG